GAUGAAGAACGUAGUGAAAUGCGAUAAGUAGUGUGAAUUGCAGAAUUCAGUGAAUCAUCGAAUCUUUGAACGCACAUUGCGCCCACUGGUAUUCCGGUGGGCAUGCCUGUUCGAGCGUCAUUAUCCUCCCUCAAACCCCGGGUUUGGUGUUGGACCCAAGUUGUGUGAACAACUGGUCUUAAAGACAAUGACGGCGUCCGUGGGACCCUCGGUGCAACGAGCUUUUAGGAGCACGCAUCGAGUUGCAAGGACCUUCCGGGCCGGUCUCCUUUACUAUUUUACAAGGUUGACCUCGGAUCAGGUAGGAAUACCCGCUGAACUUAAGCAUAUCAAUAAGCGGAGGA
RNAcentral lists this unclassified non-coding RNA (344 nucleotides) under soil metagenome. RNAcentral's name for it is "partial contains 5.8S ribosomal RNA, internal transcribed spacer 2, and large subunit ribosomal RNA". The stretch from base 1 to 120 matches the Rfam family "5.8S ribosomal RNA", at positions 35 to 154 of the family's 154-position model. The record is from RNAcentral.